Molecule: long non-coding RNA, 800 nt
Filed under: Apteryx rowi (Okarito brown kiwi)
Lineage: Eukaryota; Metazoa; Chordata; Aves; Apterygiformes; Apterygidae
Description: lncRNA (ENSARWG00000001274.1)
Source: RNAcentral
AGUUCAAAACAGCAAAAGUAAAUGACUUGUAGAGCUUGGAUUAGCAUCAGAUGCAAUGACAAGUAACGGCACACGAGCAAACAGGAAAUUGAAUGGCAAAGCCAGAGGGGCAUCAGUGAACGUGCCAGGCUGCAAAGACUUCCUCAGAGGGAGGCACGAAAAGAAAGCAAAAUGCUGUCCAAGAUGCAAAUCUUUCUUCCUGUGCCUUCUGACAUGCUGAGACUGGAAUUUCACAGUAAUUUUAACUAGGUUUGGAUACUGCUGGAGAAGAUGGUACUGCCCUUAUCUAACUCCCUUUCACUCUCCAGCCACUCAGUCCUCCCUUCUUUACGUUGUUGCUUGUGUUUGUGAAUUACUGGGGACUUUUUUUCUCUUUUAAGCUACUUAAGUGACAGCUUAAUUCCACAGACUGCUACAGUCGGUUGUAGUUUGACACAGUUGCAGUAUGUGCAAUGUAUGACACCCAAAAUUUCUCUGAUUACUUCAGACAGCUUGUUAGCGAUGAUUGCCAGUAGGAUUUCUGGGCCUGUCCCAAUCAAAGUCAAAGGAAGAGCACCAGAAUGAUUCUUUCUGUUGGAAAAUAUCCUUGCCAUGCAUGGCUGUUAUCAACAUCUCAAGUAAUCAAGUAAUAUAGUAGCAGCAAAACCAAUAUAAAAUAGAAUUAAUAAUGAAAAUGUCUGAAGCUCUGAGAUAUGAAUUUACCUACCUUUAGCAUUUAUACAUUCUGAAUAUAAUGGUAAGCCACAGUAUUAUUAGAGAAGUACUGCAGAUCUGUUGCUAUUGAAGAAACAUCAGCUCGG